Cyprinus carpio carpio is the source of this 7071-nucleotide long non-coding RNA. The record is from Ensembl. Lineage: Eukaryota; Metazoa; Chordata; Actinopteri; Cypriniformes; Cyprinidae.
UUGUUGACAUCUGAUGAAGAAACAACAACUGUGCCUAAAACAACAGUUCUUGAAACAACAGUUUUGUUUAACAUAAGCACCCUUGCAACAUCUUCAGUUGCAGCACCAAUGUUGACAACUGAUGCAGUAACCAAAACUAUUGGCGCAACAACAACAAAUAUCGCCAACACAAGCAUCCCUCCAUCAUUCUCAUCUUCAGCACCCUUAUCGACAAUUGAAUCAACAUCCACAACUAUGUUUGAAACAACAACAGUACUUCCUGUUACAACUACUAGUGCAACAACAACUUUGGCUGGCACAAAUACACUUCCAACAGCAACUAUAGGUGAGACAACUAUAAUCUUGGGUCUCAAAACCACAGUAGCUCCUCCAACAUUCUCAACUAUCACACAAAACACCACAACUCAUCCAGAAACUACAACUAUGCCUGCAAUUAAUACAAGUAUUGGUGAAAAAACUACAACUUUGACCCCCACAAGCACCACAACCCCUCCAACUUUGCUGGAGGAGUCAGUGACAACAACAUCCAAGAAUAUUCAUCCACAAAGCACAACAAUGUCUGAGAUGAAAAUUACUACCUUCAGUGCAUUAAAAACAGAUAUAACUGAUUCAACAACCACACCUAAUUCUAAAAUCACAACAACUAGUAGUGAAACAAUUACAACCAGAAUGUCCUCCUCAACAUUGUUGGAAGAGCCAACAACAGCACAAUCACAAGCUAUAUCUAAUUUAAAUACAACAACAGUUCCAGUGUUUACAACAACAGCUUUGACUAAUUCUCAGACAGAAAAUAAUCCUACAGUGCACUUCCUAACAUCUACAGCAGUCCUUGGCAAAACAAGCUUACCUCUAAUGAACAGAACUGGUUCAGCACUGGUUACAAGCAAACUGCAGUUUAACUCCUCAUCUCCAGUCCCCAGAGAAACUCAGGUCCUCAGUGUUAUCAAGACUCUUCUCAAAUCCAGAGAGUCACAGCUCAACAAAUCAGUUCAAGUGCUGAAUGUCACCUAUAAAAAUAUCUCAGAGACCUCUUAUGCAAUCAUCUUUACAUUUAACCUGAUUGACAUUAGUAUACCAAAGGACCCUGCAGUAAAGAACAACACCUAUCAGCACCUGCAGAAUGUUAUCAAUAAUAUGUUGAACACACUUCUGAAUGAACCUGGCAGUCAGGUUUUUGAAGCCAAGUCCUCCAAAUUCACGAGCACAGAAAACCACAUUGAGGGCAGUAUGGAAUAUAUCUUCGACAGCAAAGAUCAACCCACCAUUUUGUUGAAGGAGCUUAAUUUACAGAACAGCAUAAUAACAACGACCCUUGCAACACCAGGCACAUCUAAAACCACUAAAGGAACUACAACUUUGAUUGGGAGGGUGAUUUUUUACAUUCGGCUAAUUUUUAUCACACGGGGCCCCAUACCAAGUGAGAGUCAUGUUCAAAAUUUGGUCAACGUACUGCUGGCCCCACAUCUCAGAGCUAAACAAGACACAGCACAAGCCCUGAAUGAUCCUGUGAGCUAUGUGAAUGCCAGCUAUGAGAAAAUUGCUGAUAAUUCAUAUGCCCUCAAACUUGGCUUUGAGAUCAACAAUCCAUCCAUGGCAGAGAAACUUGAACUCAGGGAUGGCAACUACACAUUCAUUCAAAACUCCAUAAAAAGAAAGCUAAACCAAAUCCUAAGUGACUCUGACACUUCUGUUGAGUUCAACAAAGCCAAUUUCACGAAAAAUUCCAUGGAGGUCAUUGCUGAUAUUGAUUAUAUUUUCCGGCAACAAGACAUCAAGUCACCCAGUGACUUCCUCCAAGAACUUCUCAAAGUUAUGAAUAGCUUAACAACUCCAGCUCCAACAGGGAAUAAAACAACUCAGAAACCUGUACAAACACCAAAUGUGAUUGGGAAGGUGAUUAUUUACAUUCGGCUCAUAUUUAUCACACGGGGCCCUGUACCAAGUGAUGCAAAAAUAUUACAAUUGGCAAACUCUCUGCUGGCCGCACGUUUCAGAAUUAAACGAGAACUAAGGGCACAAAGCUUAGGUACCCCUGUGAGCUUUGUGAAUGUUACUUACACAAAACUUUCUGAUACGUCAUAUUCCCUGAAUUUUGGAUUUGAAAUCAACAAUGUUACCAUGUCUCAGAAACUUGAACUCAGGGAUACAACAUAUAAAUUAAUCCAGGACUCUAUAAAUAAAUUGUUGAACGAGAUCCUAACUGAGCCCACAGCCACUCCAUUUGAGUUCAAAGAUACCAAUUUCACGGGUAAUUCCACCACUAUUCAGGCUGAUGUACAGUAUGUUUUCUCAGAAAACGACAUCCAGAAACCCAGUGCCUUUCUCUAUGCACUUAUUGUGGUUAAUAAUGAGACUAUUACCACUACAACUACACCUGCUGCAACAAGAACCACCUUUUACUCCACAGUGCUGAGCACUACAAUCACAAAUAACAGCACUAGUGCAGCAUGGGUUGUGGCCAUUAUUGUACCCUGUGCUAUUGUCAUCAUCCUCGUACCUUGCUGGAUUCUCCUUUGUUGUUUACUGUGUGGUUGCUGUACAGCAUUAAGAAGACGGUGGUCCAGAAGACGGUCAUACAAUGUACAAUACACCACUCAUAACAGCCUUUUCUAGAGAGCUCGAGACACAUCAGGAACAUUUUCUAACACUAAUGACUAAUUACUUAUAUUACUAAAUCAAAUUGUGAUUGUGGUACUUUAAAGUUUACAUUUAACUUUCCAUAAUGAUUAUGAUAUCUUACAGCUUUUAUAAUGCACUAUUUAUUUUAUUGUGCCUGUAUUGCUGGACAGACAGGAUCUUAAAUUGUGAUUAAUGUAAUUUAUUUUCAGAAUUGUUUAAUGGAUAAAAAAAUUGUAUUUACGAUUUCUGUAAGGUUUAAAAUAUUUGCAUGUUAUAAUAUUUUGGGAUUUCCAAAUAAUUAAUUUAUUUGAUAUUACACAUUUCAUUUUAAGGGGCAAUGUUGGUAAUGUUAAACUUAUUUACACUUUAUGCACUUUAGUUCCAUGUAACUCAAAGGAAAAUCCUUGUGUGCUUUACACACAGAUGUAGAUGUAAAACAGCAGCAACAUCAAUCAACAGUCAUUUUAUCUGCAUAAUUUUAGAUCUCGUUUUUAAUGAUCACUUCUGUUCUGACAAGAUUGUCCUGCAGCUGCUGACAGGAUUUUUUUUUUCUUUUUAGUAAGGCAUUACACAAACAGCUUUCUUCACCUUUUAAAUCAAAACAACACUAAUAAAUUUAAGAACAACUGUAUAUGUAACCAAAUGAUUAUGAUCUAGCAGGAGCCUGCAUGCAUAACAAUCAAAAAUAAAACACCUACAAUGUUGAAAAAUACACAAAUUCUGUUUAUUUUGAAAGUUGUAAGUAAAUUUCACAUAUAUAUCACUUUCAUCCACUAUUUUUCCACAUAUGUCUAAAUAUAGAAUUUGUUAUAAUUAAAAGCCAUGAGCUGACACAUACACAGAACACGAGUCAUCAUCCAGUCUCUUAAAAUUACACAUAAAUGUGUAUUUAAAUAUAAUCUGACACCCAUUUUUGAGAUUUGUGUUGUUUUUGAGGGUUGGUGAGUGGGGUGAGUAGUGAGAAAAAAACAAUUGCCACUAUCAUUUAAAAUAUUUAAUUGCACCAACAACACUGAUUGCCAUUGAUACAGUUCAAUUAAAAAAAUUCAGUUAGACAAAUUGAACAAUGUCGUAGACGUAGUCUGUCACUAGAAAAUUUUGAAAAGUGAAAUUUUAAAGUGAGUGUCUCAGAUAUUUAUUAAAUCAAGGCCUUGGUGCUCAAUGUGAACAGUCUCUAUGUACAGUAUAUCCAGUUCAAACAGUGAUCAUCUACCAGUGACUUGAGCUCUCACAUCCAAUACGAAACAGAUAGCAACUUUACAUGAUGAUGAAUAUAUGUGGAAACAUCACAAAAGCAAAACAAAUUUAUGAUAUCCAUAUUAUGACACUGGUGGUGAUGACAUAUGCAUGAUUUCCUAUCAUAAUUUAAAAAUAAUAUUCUUUAAGUAGCUGCUCACCUCUGUCCAAGAAGAGCGUGUCAUCAGAACAAUGCUUGAAAGUUUAUCCACUGUAUUAUAUAAUCAAUUAGUAUUAUAAUGAAUACAAGAUUAAGAAAACAUUUUCCUCCGUAGCCAUGUAAAGUAGCUCAUAAUUAACAGAAACACUGGCUAUACAAGAAAUUAAGAAUGACAAUACUCACACCAGCUUAUGUACAUUUUAAUACGCCACAGAUAGAUUUGUAGAGGUUUAUUUCAGCCAUUGUUGUCAAAACACUGCAGUACUGUUGUCACCAAAUGACAACAACUAAUCAGACCAUUCAAAUAAAAUUUAAAGCCUCACAAAUGAAAUAAAAAUGCUAAAAAAUUAGUAAAAACAAACUGUAUUAGCCUAGGCUUCAUAGGUUAUUCACUCAUUGCGCUGUUCAAUCAAUGUAAUCAAUGGCUGUAAUCAAUCAGGCAAAACAGCUCAGAUUUAUCAUAUUGCAUAAAACUAAGCAUUGCUUUGAAACUUUUAUUGCUUAACAUAGAACCUUCAGUAAUUUUUCAAAAUAAUCCAUUAAACAAGUUGCGAUUUGAGGAGUGUGCACUUAUAUUUUCAGUUCCAUUCAUUUGUCUCACUGGAACAGUUGUUUACAGGCACUGACUAUUACACAUCACUGGUCUGCAUGAGAAUGCAAGUCGAUUCUUUGAAUUCUUGGAAUUGUGAAACAGUCCAAGAAUGUUACAACCUGCUCAUCAAAGUAAAGUUGAAACGUCCCUAGGCCUAUACAUAAAAGUUCUCCUGCCAUACUCCAUUAGGAGUAAAUCAUUUGUUGAAUGAAAUCUCAAUCUUAGUCUCUAUAUUUCACCAACAUAAGAAAAAAAUAUAGAUUUUAGCUUAUAUGUCUUUUUUCUGAAGAUAAUUUGCUUUCCUUUAUUAAAAACAGUUUUUUAAAAAAAAGUUUUUGUUGUUUCUUUCUAACAAAUUCUUUACUGUUUAAAAGUCAUUUUCUAUGGAAGUUUCUGCUAAAAGUAAAAAAUUAUUUCUGUUAUAAUGUUGUUUAUAUACUGUAGGUAUAUAAUAUCUUUAUUCUGAAAUAUCUGUAAAUGUACAGUCGUGGCCAAAAGUUUUGAGAAUUACAUAAAUAUCUGAAAUUGGAAAAUUUGCUGGUUAAGUUUUUAUAAUAACAAUUUGCAUAUACUCCAGAAUGUUAUGAAGAGUGAUCAGAUGAAUUGCAUAGUCCUUCUUUGCCAUGAAAAUUAACUUAAUCCCAAAAAAAACUUUCCACUGCAUUUCAUUGCUGUCAUUAAAGGACCUUCUGAGAUCAUUUCAGUAAUCAUCUUGUUAACUCAGGUGAGAAUGUUGACGAGCACAAGGCUGGAGAUCAUUAUGUCAGGCUGAUUGGGUUAGAAUGGCAGACUUGACAUGUUAAAAGGAGGGUGAUGCUUGAAAUCAUUGUUCUUCCAUUGUUAACCAUGGUGACCUGCAAAGAAACGCGUGCAGCCAUCAUUGCGUUGCAUAAAAAUGGCUUCACAGGCAAGGAUAUUGUGGCUACUAAGAUUGCACCUAAAUCUACAAUUUAUAGGUUCAUCAAGAACUUCAAGGAAAGAGGUUCAAUUCUUGUAAAGAAGGCUUCAGGGCGUCCAAGAAAGUCCAGCAAGCGCCAGGAUCGUCUCCUAAAGAGGAUUCAGCUGCGGGAUCGGAGUGCCACCAGUGCAGAGCUUGCUCAGGAAUGGCAGCAGGCAGGUGUGAGCGCAUCUGCACGCACAGUGAGGUGAAGACUUUUGGAAGAUGGCCUGGUGUCAAGAAGGGCAGCAAAGAAGCCACUUCACUCCAAAAAAAAAAACAUCAGGGACAGAUUGAUCUUCUGCAGAAAGUAUAGUGAAUGGACUGCUGAGGACUGGGGCAAAGUCAUAUUCUCCGAUGAAGCCCCUUUCCGAUUGUUUGGGGCAUCUGGAAAAAGGCUUGUCCGGAGAAGAAAAGGUGAGCGCUACCAUCAGUCCUGUGUCAUGCCAACAGUAAAACAUCCUGACACCAUUCAUGUGUGGGGUUGCUUCUCAUCCAAGGGAGUGGGCUCACUCACAAUUCUGCCCAAAAACACAGCCAUGAAUAAAGAAUGGUACCAAAACACCCUCCAACAGCAACUUCUUCCAACAACCCAACAACAGUUUGGUGAAGAACAAUACAUUUUCCAGCACGAUGGAGCACUGUGCCAUAAGGCAAAAGUGAUAACUAAGUGGCUCGGGGACCAGAAUGUUGAAAUUUUGGGUCCAUGGCCUGGAAACUCCCCAGAUCUUAAUCCCAAUGAGAACUUGUGGUCAAUCCUCAAGAGGCGGGUGGACAAACAAAACCACACUAAUUCUGACAAACUCCAAAAAGUUAUUAUGAAAGAAUGGGUUGCUAUCAGUCAGGAUUUGGCCCAGAAGUUGAUUGAGAGCAUGCCCAGUCGAAUUGCAGAGGUCCUGAAAAAGAAGGGCCAGCACUGCAAAUACUGACUCUUUGCAUAAAUGUCAUGUAAUUGUCGAUAAAAGCGUUUGAAACGUAUGAAGUGCUUGUAAUUAUAUUUCAGUACAUCACUGAAACAAAGAUCUAAAAGCAGUUUAGCAGCAAACUUUUUGAAAACUAAUAUUUAUGUAAUUCUCAAAACUUUUGGCCACGACUGUACUAUCCAAUAAAAAGUUCAGUGCACAAAUAGGUUUCGAAACAGGUUUAUCACAAAAGUAGUUGCAAUUAGGCCUAUUUGGUAUUACCAAGGUUGAGUGGCAACUCGUGGUGGGUUAACUAACUUCCAGUCAAUAAGAGAGGGAGAAGUUCAAACUCUAGAGUGUUUUUUUUCUGCUAUUUGUAUUUUGUUAACUUAUAAUCUAUUACUGAUAGAUUAAUGGGUCUAUUAAUUUACCAGACAUACACUGUGUGAUGAUUAAAAUAAAGUCAAAACAUUGGAGACUCCUGAGAAUUCUUAUUAGGCUUCAAGAAAGUUUUAAAACAUUUUUACUUGUUAUGCUAGUACAGCAGAAGAAAGCAGGGGAAGUGAUAGGAGAGGAGAGAAGGGAAGCCGGGUCUUGAACUCAUGACUGGAGUUUACAGUAUUUU